RNAcentral lists this ribosomal RNA (292 nucleotides) under uncultured bacterium. RNAcentral's name for it is "partial 16S ribosomal RNA". It matches the Rfam family "Bacterial small subunit ribosomal RNA", at positions 332 to 642 of the family's 1533-position model. The record is from RNAcentral.
CUGGCCUACGGGGGGCAGCAGUGGGGAAUAUUGCACAAUGGGGGAAACCCUGAUGCAGCGACGCCGCGUGAGUGAAGAAGUAUUUCGGUAUGUAAAGCUCUAUCAGCAGGGAAGAAGAAAGACGGUACCUGACUAAGAAGCCCCUGCUAACUACGUGCCAGCAGCCGCGGUAAUACGUAGGGGGCAAGCGUUAUCCGGAUUUACUGGGUGUAAAGGGAGCGUAGACGGCCGUGCAAGUCUGAAGUGAAAGCCCGUGGCUCAACCGCGGAACUGCUUUGGACACUGUAUAGCU